GAUGAACGCUGGCGGCGUGCCUAAUACAUGCAAGUCGAGCGAACGGACGAGAAGCUUGCUUCUCUGAUGUUAGCGGCGGACGGGUGAGUAACACGUGGAUAACCUACCUAUAAGACUGGGAUAACUUCGGGAAACCGGAGCUAAUACCGGAUGAUAUUUUGAACCGCAUGGUUCAAAAGUGAAAGACGGUCUUGCUGUCACUUAUAGAUGGAUCCGCGCUGCAUUAGCUAGUUGGUAAGGUAACGGCUUACCAAGGCAACGAUGCAUAGCCGACCUGAGAGGGUGAUCGGCCACACGGGAACUGAGACACGGUCCAGACUCCUACGGGAGGCAGCAGUAGGGAAUCUUCCGCAAUGGGCGAAAGCCUGACGGAGCAACGCCGCGUGAGUGAUGAAGGUCUUCGGAUCGUAAAACUCUGUUAUGAGGGAAGAACAUAUGUGUAAGUAACUGUGCACGUCUUGACGGUACCUAAUCUGAAAGCCACGGCUAACUACGUG
Molecule: ribosomal RNA, 497 nt
Filed under: uncultured bacterium
Lineage: Bacteria
Description: partial 16S ribosomal RNA
Rfam family: Bacterial small subunit ribosomal RNA
Source: RNAcentral